Molecule: long non-coding RNA, 999 nt
Organism: Haplochromis burtoni (Burton's mouthbrooder)
Lineage: Eukaryota; Metazoa; Chordata; Actinopteri; Cichliformes; Cichlidae
Exons: 4
Source: RefSeq, a predicted model, not a curated record
UUAGCACAUGGCAGUGUCAAUCUCUUGCUUUUCUUCUGAGUAGUAUUUUAUUUAGUUGUAAUUCAAACAAUAAUUUGCUUCUUGAAAUUAAGUAAUGAAUUUCUUGUUUUACUUUAUAAAUCUCAGAUCCUGCCUUUACCUGCUCCCUCCUAUACUGAUGUGGUGUAUGUGGUAUUGCUGAGCUUGUAUGUGGUGGAAGCAGAAUAUGUGAGGAUUACUACUGCUGCACAUGUUCCAAGGCUUUUUACACAACUUGACCAAUACACUGACCAGCUCAUAAAAGUCUUCAAGAAAAAAGGAGGCGUUGCAGGGAAGAAAAUUAGACAAACUUUGGCCCCAGCCACACAGAAGGAAACUAUUGAAAAGGGGAGGGAGUGUGUCCUCAGGGCACUACCUUUUUACCUGAAUGAAGACCCAAGCAUCCUCUUCAAAGAAUAAUUGCUACAGCUGUUCAGAGGGAGCUGGAACAAAUUACCCUUGCUAUCUUUACCAUCGAAAGAGCUGAUGCCAGCACUCCUCCAGCCGAUGUGGGUAUAACCAUCUAGUGUGUCCUGCAUGACCUGGAAGACCUGGCCUCUGCAUGUGCACUCUUAAUGGGUGGGAUAUAUGCACUGAAUCUCAGUUAACCUCAAGACUGAAAGCUUUCUUUGAAGUACUUCAGAAGCUCUUCCUUCAUCUGUAUGUCAGCAGACUCUUGACCAAGGUACAGUUGCUCAAGAAUACACUGAAUGAAUAAGCCAACCUUUAAUUUGGAUGAUGAAUGUUCUGUCAGAUGGACAGAAGUUUUUCGGAGGCUGAAUGGGAAUAAAAUGGUAAUUUGUAAAUGACAGAUAACGGUAAAAUUACAUUUAAGAGAAAUUUAGAACAUUUUGAAAAGUUUGUAAACUACUACAAUUUGAGAGAUUUUACUGUUGUGGGGGGGCUAGUAAGAGACCAUCAAAAGUAUUGAGAUUUAAAGGAUUUAAUUGAGAGAUGAUACUGCACCAGAAAUGUUGAAGG